UACGGGGGGGGCAAGCGUUGUUCUGAAUUACUGGGCGUAAAGGGCUCGUAGGUGGCCAACUAAGUCAGACGUGAAAUCCCCAGGCUCAACUUGGGAACUGCGUCUGAUACUGGAUGGCUUGAAUUCGGGAGAGGGAUGCAGAAUUCCAGGUGUAGCGGUGAAAUGCGUAGAGAUCGGGAGGAACAUCCGUGGCGAAGGCGGCCAUCUGGAUCAACACUGACGCUGAGGCACGAAAGCGUGGGGAGCAAACAGG
This 253-nucleotide ribosomal RNA is filed under the name uncultured bacterium. RNAcentral's name for it is "partial 16S ribosomal RNA". It matches the Rfam family "Bacterial small subunit ribosomal RNA", at positions 524 to 776 of the family's 1533-position model. The record is from RNAcentral.